AGUGAACGCUGGCGGUAGGCCUAACACAUGCAAGUCGAACGGCAGCACAGUAAGAGCUUGCUCUUACGGGUGUCGAGUGGCGGACGGGUGAGGAAUACAUCGGAAUCUACUUUUUCGUGGGGGAUAACGUAGGGAAACUUACGCUAAUACCGCAUACGACCUACGGGUGAAAGCAGGGGAUCUUCGGACCUUGCGCGAUUGAAUGAGCCGAUGUCGGAUUAGCUAGUUGGCGGGGUAAAGGCCCACCAAGGCGACGAUCCGUAGCUGGUCUGAGAGGAUGAUCAGCCACACUGGAACUGAGACACGGUCCAGACUCCUACGGGAGGCAGCAGUGGGGAAUAUUGGACAAUGGGCGAAAGCCUGAUCCAGCCAUACCGCGUGGGUGAAGAAGGACUUCGGGUUGUAAAGCCCUUUUGUUGGGAAAGAAAAGCAGCAGGUUAAUACCCCGCUAUUCUGACGGUACCCAAAGAAUAAGCACCGGCUAACUUCGUG
RNAcentral lists this ribosomal RNA (492 nucleotides) under uncultured bacterium. RNAcentral's name for it is "partial 16S ribosomal RNA". It matches the Rfam family "Bacterial small subunit ribosomal RNA", at positions 29 to 507 of the family's 1533-position model. The record is from RNAcentral.